Lingula anatina is the source of this 2569-nucleotide unclassified non-coding RNA. The record is from RefSeq and is a predicted model, not a curated record. Lineage: Eukaryota; Metazoa; Brachiopoda; Lingulata; Lingulida; Lingulidae.
UGCACUAGACGCAAGGUCUCUCGAUUAGGAAUUGAAACUGAGGUGACUAUGAUAGUUGCACAGUGCCAAAAACAGAAUGAUAGAUAAGCACAACUGUGACACGGAUCGAAAAUGCCUCGAGUAAAAGAGAUUAAAACCGGAAAGUUGGAUCACAUGAAGAGACAGAACUACUUUAAACCGAGACAAGUUCAGUUUUGUAAGGUGAUUGAAGGACUAGAUACAGAGUACUACCUCAUCAAACUCUUCAGACAUGAUGAUAAGCUUCAUCGCAGGGUGCCAAAAGGUUCUAUUCAGUUCAACAAAGCUGAUGUCUGUGCAGUUCACAUGUGGGAGGCAAAGGAAGAGAAAAAGAAAUUGCUUCGGUCUCAAGUUAUUUUGAAAAAUCAUGUUAUUUUGUUUUUACCUGAACCAGUCGUUUUUCUUGAGAAGAGUAGUGAUGAGUCUCUUGAAGCACUAGAGUUGUUGGAGUGGUACAACUGCUUUGUGAAAGAAUUCAAGCACAGGCACCACUGGGAAGUAGAAGUGCCAGAGAAGGACUACUAUAAACCUGGUCAGUAUUGGUUACACCUUAUGGAACAGUCAUUGUGCUUAGUGUCCAGGUCCAACUUGUAUGGUCCAUGUGACCCAGUCUUUGCAUGCUAUGACCACUACUCUUUAGAGGAUGUGGAGGUGUCAUGGUCUCCUGGAAUUCUAGACUUGAAUGUCUAUGAUAAACAACAGAUUAAACUCAAGACACCAUUUGCAAAGGACAUUUAUAAUGUUAUUAGUGAGAAGACAGCAGAGUUAUCAGCCCAUAAGCAAUCUGAUGUUGUUAAGCCUGUUUCUCCGACAACACCUUUCCCCCCUCAGAGACCAGAUGGCGCAGCGGUGUCAGUGAAAGUAGAGCCACCUGACUGCCCUCCCACCCCUCCCCUAAGGAAGGAUGUAGAGUCUCCGCUUGUGAAUCCAGAUAUAAAUGCUUCCAUUGUCCCACCAAGGCCACCCAGAAGUCCUUUACAUACAAGAAAGGAUGCAAAUCUUGACAAAGAUAUGUCACUGGACAAUUCAGAGGAGGAUUUUAAAAACUUAUCGACUGAAAAUGUUCAUCGUCCUUUGCAGAUGUCUGCCAGCAUUCCUUAUUCUGUAGAAGCUAUACGUCCCCCCUUACCUCCCUUGAGAAGUAACAGUGAUCAAAGUGGCUUAGUGUCCAAUUUCCAAACCAUGCCACCACCUCUUCCGCCAAGGACACCCUGUAAAAAAAGCGACCAGCAGAAAAGUAAACCAUCAGACCUUUCAAGUAGUUAUCAUGAUGUUAAAGCAGGAAAAAAGUGGCAGAAUGUAGUGGUCUCUACAGAAGAAGAGCAAGGGAAGACGAAUGAAAUGAUUUUAAACAUUCCAGUACAAAGUUUUGAUCAAAAUGUCACCAUUCCUUGCAGUCCCAAGACGCCUAGCCCAACUCUGACUGUAAAUCCUAAGGGCUCCAAAAAAGGAUGAUUAUAAAAAUGUGAGAAGACCUCUUCCUGCUCCUCGGACGAAAAAUAAUUCAACUGGAGGAACAUCAGCAUUAGACUCAACAGAUCAAACUUUUAUAAAAUUUGAAGAUUUACAAUCAUUCAACAAUGGUACAGUUCAGUCAUUGAAUUUAGAAAGUGACCAUGCAGAUCAAAUGCUUCAGUUCCAUGAUAUCUCUGCUCAUCAACCUUUGACAGACAGUGACUAUGAUACAGUGGCAUGUGUGCAAUCAAAAGCUUUAUUUCCUUCAGGGCGAAGCCGUUCUUAUUCACUUGAACGUUUAUCAAUCCACAGUGACUCGUCCGACUUGCCUGUUGAGACAAUUUAUGGAAGUGCGGAAGAUUUGUAUGACAUUCAUAAAUUGGAAGAAUUUAGAGAAAAAGUGUUGAGAGGGGAUUUCAGUACACUGUACAGUGGAAUCAAUCGAGACCAACUUAGUAAAGGGCGUGGCAGUGGCAGAAAACACUGGAUGAGAAGUGCACUUGUUCAAAGUGAAUGCAUGUAUGUAAAUGAUGACCUUCAAAGUAAAGAGCCGGCCCCACAACUGCCACCACGAGAUUACCCCCAAGCACGGCCAGGCUAUGCAACUUUGCCUAAUUUGAGACGCAGAGAAGAUAGGAAUACAAUUCUGGAUAUGGAUUACUGGGCUUCAGAGAUCAGUCAAACUCUCCAACUAAUAUUAGAAAAGACCAAUCCUGUGCCAGAUACCCUUCUGAUAUCUUCACUGGUAAAGGAAAGAAUUUGCUUUAAACUUUCUUACAUUCCUGCUUCAACUGACUGGCAUAAUUUUGCGGAGGAGAUAGGUCUUCAUGCAGAUGACAUUGGUAUCAUAGAGAACUUUGCCAGAUUCCACAACGUUUGCCCAGCCAAGAUAGUGCUAAACCACUGGCAGGUGCUAGAAAAUAAUGGUGUGAUUGCCAGUGAUUCCACAAGUAUCAAACACUGUACCAAGCAGUCUCUGUUGGACAUAUUGGAAAAAUUGGAGAGAUUAGAUUUAGUAGAACUUAUUAAGAACCGGGAUAGAAAACAGUAGGAAAAUGGUCAGUCGUUUCUAUAUGCAAGGUGCAUUUUUUUUUUU